UACGUAGGGUGCAAGCGUUAAUCGGAAUUACUGGGCGUAAAGCGUGCGCAGGCGGUGAUGUAAGACAGUUGUGAAAUCCCCGGGCUCAACCUGGGAAUGGCAUUUGGGACUGCAAGGCUGGAGUGCGGCAGAGGAGACUGGAAUUCCUGGUGUAGCAGUGAAAUGCGUAGAUAUCAGGAGGAACACCGAUGGCGAAGGCAGGUCUCUGGGCUGACACUGACGCUCAUGCACGAAAGCGUGGGGAGCAAACAGG
RNAcentral lists this ribosomal RNA (253 nucleotides) under uncultured bacterium. RNAcentral's name for it is "partial 16S ribosomal RNA". It matches the Rfam family "Bacterial small subunit ribosomal RNA", at positions 524 to 776 of the family's 1533-position model. The record is from RNAcentral.